UGAAACUCAAAUAUAUAUUCCGAUUAGAUAGUUGAGUUGACUUUGUUUUGGGAGCAUGUAAGAGGACGUUUAUGACGGGCAUCGGUUGACUCGGCCCACAACCGUAAGAGUUGAAGUCUAAAAUUGUUGACUUUUUU
Molecule: small RNA, 137 nt
Filed under: Arabidopsis thaliana (thale cress)
Lineage: Eukaryota; Viridiplantae; Streptophyta; Magnoliopsida; Brassicales; Brassicaceae
Description: ATSL281840
Source: RNAcentral